UGACGGAAGCAAUGUAAAAGUCCACAUUGUUCUAAAAUAACAGACAUCCUUUUGUAAUUAGAUUAUGAUAAUUUAUGUGGAUUGGAAAGGAAGUAGGUACCUAGAUAGUGGAUAACUGGAUACCUAUGUUUCUGAUAAUUGAUUCCUUCAGGUGCAUCGAUAACUUCACACAUUGCUAUACAUGACAGAUGACCGCCGAUACAACUUGCCCCCCAGCCGAAACCUCCGUGACUAUACGGCAGACACAAACUCAAUUCCGACGAUAAAUAAACACCACUUCCCAUUAAUGUCGUCUAUAAGAAAUAAACGUUAAAAUUUCAAUUUUAUAUUUAGUUUGUUCAUAUAUAAAAUAAAAUUUUCGUUAAAACAAACCUUAUUAAUAUGUUGUUGAAGGCCAAAGUUUAUUAUUGAGAAAAAAUUUUCUAAGCGAUUUCCGUGAUAAGCAUAAAACACUUUGUGAUCUUUCGAUAACUCCUUCCAUCUCAACUCGCCAUUCGAAUUAUUUGAACUCACAACUUGAAAGAUGUAUUGUGGCUUUGGCGCAGGUAACAAUGAAUGUACAUUAAUUAAUAUUGCUUCAUGCUGUUGAGUCGUAAAAAGCAUUUUGUAUAAUGUAAGUAAAUGUUUGUAUAACAAAAGUAUAUAUUAUUACGAUACCUAUACGAAAUUAAAAAGACCGCUCUUUGUUUACUUGUAUACUUUUAUGUGCAUCUCGGCCUACUCUGUACUUCUAGAAAGUAACUCAUAUUGUAUGAAAAAUCCGAACAAUUUCCUAUUAAAGUGUAUAAAGCUGAA
This is a long non-coding RNA of Melitaea cinxia (Glanville fritillary), 795 nucleotides long. RefSeq lists it as uncharacterized. The transcript is spliced from 2 exons. NCBI's taxonomy places the organism in Eukaryota, Metazoa, Arthropoda, Insecta, Lepidoptera, Nymphalidae. The record is from RefSeq and is a predicted model, not a curated record.